AUGCGGGGCGACCUGCGGCCACGGGGGGCGCGUGUUCCGGGAGCGCGGCGCGGGUGCCGCCGGGUGCCGCCGGGUGCCGCCGGCUGCCAGGGCCCCGAGGGCGCAGGGCGGGUGUCCACGCCGCAAGGAGCAGCUGCGGCGACGCGACGCGGCGCGGCGCGGGCGGGGCGGGCGGGGCGGGCGGGGCGGGCGGGGCGGCUCCCCAGGCGCGGCCAAGAUGGCGCGGGCGCCGCGGGGCUGCGGUCACGUGCCGGGCGGGGCGGGGCGGGGCCUCGGGGAGCGCGCAGGCUCCGCCCCGGGGGUGGGGCAGGCCCUGGGGGCGGGGCGGGGCCUCGGGGAGCGCGCAGGCUCCGCCCCGGGGGUGGGGCCAGGCCCUGGGGGCGGGGCGGGGCCUCGGCGCCGGCGGAGCUGCAGCUGCCUCGGCGCCGGCUCGGCUCGCUCCGGGACGCGGCGGCUCGGCGGGCCGGGGGCGGCUCCUCCCGCUCGGGGCUGCGCCGCCGGCCUCCGGGACUGCAGGCAGGUGAGCGGCCGCGCCCGGUGGGCGACGAUGCCCCGCCCGCCCCAGUCGGGGAGGGUCCGUCUCGCGCGCCCCGCGAGGCCGCCCCCGCUGGCGGAGCUGCCGCCGCCCCCGCCGCCCCCGCCGCCCCGCGCCGGCCUUUGCGGUGCCCCGUGCCCUUGGGGCGAGGCUGGGGCGGAGCAGCCCGGGGGGACGGCCGGGGUCGCGAGCCCCCGGAGCAGGUGGACGGCCCGCGGCCGCGUGUCGCCCGGGUCGGGAAGCGGCACCUCUCGCUGCGGGCCCGCCGCGCUCCGGGGGCGCCCGAGGUGCCGGGGCUCCGCGCUCCCGGGGCCUUGGCGCCGCCCGCCCUGCUCGCGGCUGUGCGGGGGCCCGGGGCGGGGGGGCCGAGGUCGGCCGGGGGCGGGGAGAGUGGGCGCCCCGGAACGCAGGGCGGGCGCGGAGCCUGGCCCCGGGGGCGGGGAGCCGGGGCGACCUCCGGCGGGGACGCUGCGGGGCUGCUGCCUGCUGAGAAGACAGGUCGGGCUGCGGGACCGGAGAUGUAG
This 1059-nucleotide long non-coding RNA is filed under the name Canis lupus familiaris (dog). Its description in RNAcentral is "lncRNA (ENSCAFG00030002836.1)". The record is from RNAcentral. Lineage: Eukaryota; Metazoa; Chordata; Mammalia; Carnivora; Canidae.